GGGGGCGAACGGUAUUGACAGGGUGAAUGGGGUGAAAGAGGGCAUACCGAGGGUCCUGGCCACCUCGUUAAUCCGACCAUGAGAAAAAAACAUCCUGCAUAUACAGGAUACGCACUGGCUGCAUAAAUAAAUGCAGUCACGUCUGCCCGGGAUUUGCCCGGCCCGGAACAGGCGUCAUAAAGGGCAAAACCCUAUCAUUCCUUAGCCUUUGGGUUUGAUAGUGGUUCCUUAAAAGGCUUGCCCUUAUCAACCUGUCCUUUGGUUAAGAUAAGGGGAGAUUCAUAAAAGGAAUAAGUAUGUAGUCCUCUUCACUGAAGCACACUGGACGCGGGUUCGAUUCCCGCCGCCUCCACCA
This 355-nucleotide transfer-messenger RNA is filed under the name bacterium. RNAcentral's name for it is "f SM23-42 X3 Standard tmRNA". It matches the Rfam family "transfer-messenger RNA". From Rfam's summary of the family: Bacterial tmRNA, also known as 10Sa RNA or SsrA, is named for its dual tRNA and mRNA-like properties. The record is from RNAcentral. RNAcentral also lists the same sequence under 1 other name.